RNAcentral lists this unclassified non-coding RNA (157 nucleotides) under uncultured Hypocreales. Its description in RNAcentral is "sequence contains ITS2". Lineage: Eukaryota; Fungi; Ascomycota; Sordariomycetes; Hypocreales. The record is from RNAcentral. RNAcentral also lists the same sequence under 1 other name.
CAACCCUCAAGCCCCCGGGCUUGGUGUUGGGAAUCGAUCGGCUAGUUCCGAUCGCUCCCUAAAUACAGUGGCGAUCCCACCAACGCACCCUUGGCGUAGUAACAUACCCCGCCCUGGAGCUUGGUGUGGUCAGGCCGUUAAACCCCCCACUUCUUAA